Molecule: ribosomal RNA, 491 nt
Filed under: uncultured bacterium
Lineage: Bacteria
Description: bacterial SSU rRNA
Rfam family: Bacterial small subunit ribosomal RNA
Source: RNAcentral
GAUGAACGCUAGCUACAGGCUUAACACAUGCAAGUCGAGGGGCAGCAUGACGAUAGCUUGCUAUUGUCGAUGGCGACCGGCGCACGGGUGAGUAACGCGUAUCCAACCUUCCCGUUGCUAGGGGAUAACCUUGCGAAAGUAAGACUAAUACCCUAUGAAGUUCUUCGCAGGCAUCUAAAGAGAACGAAAGAUUUUAUCGGCAACGGAUGGGGAUGCGUCUGAUUAGGUUGUUGGCGGGGUAACGGCCCACCAAGCCCACGAUCAGUAGGGGUUCUGAGAGGAAGGUCCCCCACAUUGGAACUGAGACACGGUCCAAACUCCUACGGGAGGCAGCAGUGAGGAAUAUUGGUCAAUGGACGGAAGUCUGAACCAGCCAAGUAGCGUGCAGGACGACGGCCCUAUGGGUUGUAAACUGCUUUUAUGUGGGAAUAAAGUGAGGGACGUGUCCCUUUUUGUAGGUACCACAUGAAUAAGGACCGGCUAAUUCCGUG